Molecule: non-coding RNA, 1908 nt
Organism: Myodes glareolus (Bank vole)
Lineage: Eukaryota; Metazoa; Chordata; Mammalia; Rodentia; Cricetidae
Source: RefSeq, a predicted model, not a curated record
CUUGCCUCUGAUCUGGAGACCAGCCGUUGCUCAAUCCUUCUUUUUCCAACUGCUCUUCCACGGCUGUCUUGCGAGGCUGGAGUUGAUGGAUGGAUUUAUAAUGAGCCUGUAGAUAGCCCCGAGGACGACGCUUUGUAAGAUGGGAGAGGAAGCAUGCUGCAGCCAAAUAUUUUGCAAUAUACGAGAACUCUUAAAAUAUGGAUGUUCUAUCCCACUUGUCAGCUUUAAGAAGCACAAAUGUUACACGCUGUGGGCUUCCAGAGUGAACUAUCUAGCCAAAAUUCCCUCUCAAGAUGAAAGAGAGGUCCUCUCUGACUGAGGAAUCCUUCUUCACCGGAGCCGGUGGUCCCUUCUAUGAGGGGGGGAUUUCGCAAACAUGACUUUGUUUUUCUUGUUCUUGUUUCAGCCUUCUCUCCUCGAUUCCUCCUCAGGUUAAACAUUUCCUUGCCAUCAGCUGCAUUAAAGGAAAGCCUUUGUAUGGUGCAUCGGAUUAUCCAGCCAGCGUCCUUCCAGGCGGAGGAUUGAGGUGGACACGCAGCUGAUCUCCGCAUGCCACUUCAGUCUCCGCACACUCUUUCCGUCACACAAUUCUCGGGCCCACAUUAGGGUAGAUCGAAGCUCCACUAUUCAGACUGCAGUUGGAUGGAGUGAAAAUCAGCCCAUGGCUCUGUUUUUAUCUUCAGUUUAGAGAUUUAGAAGCAACACAGAUGAGGACACAUCUAACUGUGCCAUGCGUGGACCAGGGAAACCUGGUGUCAGUCAAGGUCCACUUCACCCAUGUUCAAAGGGUUACGUACAUAUCGAGGAAAUUCUAGCACUUCAGUUCACAGAUCACAGGACAGCACCCUAAUUAAGCAGAUUGUUAAAAGGAUGGAGCACAUGAACGCAUCUUCUACACAGGAUUUACUAGGACACAUUGUACCCACAACCAUAAAGUGGGAGCAGCUGUUGCCUGGAACGUAGACAGAGACUCAUGAAGUAGAAGUCAGUGGUCUUGGCUGCUCUCCAGCACCUGAUGAGACAUCAUUUUUACAGUCACGAUACGGUGCAGCAAGUGAGACGGAACCGCAAAUGCAGACGGUGAUUACUGGCCUUACCCCCACGGAGCUGCAAGUCCCUGUAUCCAAGUGUCUCCAUUUGACUCUCAAAACCAGAGUGCCAGUUGUGACCUUGCCCCCAAGUCCACCUUCCCCACCACUCUAGCACCUAAGUGACCCUUUCCCAAGUCGUCCAGGGAUGGAUGCUAUGCUUUCUACCUGUGACCUGCCAGUUACACUAGGGAAAUGAUCCCGAGUCUUUCAUUUCUCUCUGUCUGCAUUACCACCUGCGGAGUCACCGGCCACCCUUCCCACACUCCAUUAACGACGACAGCUCCCCGCAUGAAGCCUCCUGCUCCCACUUUCCGUACACAAUCUAUUCUACAUGAUCAUAGCACACCGUUUACAGCGAUCGGACUGCAGAUGAAAUCUGAAGUCCCUGCUCUUCACGGAUUCCGCGCUCAAGCUCUGACUCAGGUGCACCCACCUCCCCACCCUCGACCUUCUGCCGUGUUCUUCCCGGGGCUCCACCACUGUAUCACACCCAUCCCUGGUGCCAUUGGCACCUUCAGCUGUGGGUGUGCCCUCAUACUGGGUGUCUGACUCCUUUUUCCAAGCUGGCCUCAGCUCAAACGUCACCUCCUUUAGACUUGCUAGGUACAGACUCUAAAGCAGUCACUUCACCCAUGUGCCCUCAGCCAGCUCUGUGCUAUGUUUCCUUCAUAGCAUUUACUGCAGCCUGAGAUGCUCAGCUUGUUCUUCAAUGUCCUGCUCUUCCACUGAGAUACAUGUGCUUGUAGGAUGUUCCCACCUUGUCUACCUCCUUCAAAACUGUUGCCCUGUGUCUGGAAUACUAUCUGGCAUGUAGUAG